CCUACGGGAGGCAGCAGUGAGGAAUAUUGGUCAAUGGACGCAAGUCUGAACCAGCCAUGCCGCGUGCAGGAAGACGGCUCUAUGAGUUGUAAACUGCUUUUGUACGAGGGUAAACGCAGAUACGCGUAUCUGUCUGAAAGUAUCGUACGAAUAAGGAUCGGCUAACUCCGUGCCAGCAGCCGCGGUAAUACGGAGGAUUCAAGCGUUAUCCGGAUUUAUUGGGUUUAAAGGGUGCGUAGGCGGUCGGAUAAGUUAGAGGUGAAAUCCCGAGGCUCAACUUCGGAAUUGCCUCUGAUACUGUUCGGCUAGAGAGUAGGUGCGGUAGGCGGAAUGUAUGGUGUAGCAGUGAAAUGCGUAGAGAUCAUACAGAACACCGAUGGCGAAGGCAGCUUACCAAGCUACUUCUGACGUUGAGGCACGAAAGCGUGGGGAGCAAACAGGAUUAGAUACCCCAGUAGUC
This 460-nucleotide ribosomal RNA is filed under the name uncultured bacterium. RNAcentral's name for it is "partial 16S ribosomal RNA". It matches the Rfam family "Bacterial small subunit ribosomal RNA", at positions 338 to 795 of the family's 1533-position model. The record is from RNAcentral.